UACAGAGGGUGCGAGCGUUAAUCGGAAUUACUGGGCGUAAAGCGUGCGUAGACGGUUAUCUAAGUCGGAUGUGAAAGCCCCGGGCUCAACCUGGGAAUUGCAUUCGAGACUGAAUAGCUAGGGUACGGUAGAGGGAAGUGGAAUUUCCGGUGUAGCGGUGAAAUGCGUAGAUAUCGGAAGGAACAUCAGUGGCGAAAGCGGCUAACUGGUCCAGCACUGACGCUGAGGUGCGAAAGCGUGGGGAGCAAACAGG
RNAcentral lists this ribosomal RNA (253 nucleotides) under uncultured bacterium. RNAcentral describes it as "partial 16S ribosomal RNA". It matches the Rfam family "Bacterial small subunit ribosomal RNA", at positions 524 to 776 of the family's 1533-position model. The record is from RNAcentral.